AUACGGAGGGUGCAAGCGUUAAUCGGAAUUACUGGGCGUAAAGCGCGCGUAGGCGGUUAGAUAAGUCGGAUGUGAAAUCCCUGGGCUCAACCUGGGAACUGCAUUCGAUACUGUCUAACUAGAGUAUGGUAGAGGGAAGUGGAAUUCCGGGUGUAGCGGUGAAAUGCGUAGAUAUCCGGAGGAACAUCAGUGGCGAAGGCGACUUCCUGGACCAAUACUGACGCUGAGGUGCGAAAUCGUGGGGAGCAAACAGGAUUAGAAACCCUAGUAGUCC
This 274-nucleotide ribosomal RNA is filed under the name uncultured bacterium. RNAcentral describes it as "partial 16S ribosomal RNA". It matches the Rfam family "Bacterial small subunit ribosomal RNA", at positions 523 to 796 of the family's 1533-position model. The record is from RNAcentral.